Molecule: ribosomal RNA, 591 nt
Filed under: uncultured bacterium
Lineage: Bacteria
Description: partial 16S ribosomal RNA
Rfam family: Bacterial small subunit ribosomal RNA
Source: RNAcentral
UGGGGAAUAUUGCACAAUGGGCGCAAGCCUGAUGCAGCCAUGCCGCGUGUGUGAAGAAGGCCUUCGGGUUGUAAAGCACUUUCAGCGAGGAGGAAGGUGGUGAGCUUAAUACGCUCAUCAAUUGACGUUACUCGCAGAAGAAGCACCGGCUAACUCCGUGCCAGCAGCCGCGGUAAUACGGAGGGUGCAAGCGUUAAUCGGAAUUACUGGGCGUAAAGCGCACGCAGGCGGUUUGUUAAGUCAGAUGUGAAAUCCCCGGGCUCAACCUGGGAACUGCAUUUGAAGCUGGCAAGCUAGAGUCUCGUAGAGGGGGGUAGAAUUCCAGGUGUAGCGGUGAAAUGCGUAGAGAUCUGGAGGAAUACCGGUGGCGAAGGCGGCCCCCUGGACGAAGACUGACGCUCAGGUGCGAAAAGCGUGGGGAGCAAAACAGGAUUAGAUACCCUGGUAGUCCACGCUGUAAAACGAUGUCGAUUUUGGAGGUUGUGCCCUUGAGGCGUGGCUUCCGGAGCUAACGCGUUAAAUCGACCGCCUGGGGAGUACGGCCGCAAGGUUAAAAACUCAAAUGAAUUGACGGGGUCAUAGCUGUUUCCU